Long non-coding RNA from Gallus gallus (chicken), 1185 nucleotides. The record is from Ensembl. Lineage: Eukaryota; Metazoa; Chordata; Aves; Galliformes; Phasianidae.
CCCAGACAAGGGGAAAGCUUGUCACAGCCUGCUCUAGGAGAAUUUGGGGCAACAAGGAGAAACAGGGGCAGGUUCAUGACUGGCUGGAUUCCUCCACUGCUCCAGUUAAUUCAGAGAAGCACUCAAACUAACAGCCUUUGAUGUCUCCAAAAGCACGAGGCUAAUGAUGAGAAAUCAGAGUUUUACGUAUUUGGAAAAAUCUGAAGAUAAAUAGAGGCAUUCUCUUCCUAAAGCGCUCACAGAUUUGCAGCUCUGGAAUCGUGUAUUUCGACUUGGGUUUCCCUCUCUCCCACCCCGCACCCUGACAAAUCAUCCCUGCCUUCUGAGACCGAUAAUCCCAGUUGGCUGCAAUGACACCUACUGGAUGUCAGAGCUGAUGGACUGCAGACCCUGCUGCUGCUGAGUUUAGCUAGCGUCACUGCCAAUGCAACGUUCAACACCACAGCCCUCUCCGGCACAGCUCCCGCCCACUGCAGCUCUUCCUGACUGCUUGGAUCUCGGUUACCCCUAUGAAGCAAUUUCCUGCCUCUUUCAGGCUCAUUUCUCAACUCCCAGGGAAAAAGGUGGGACCCAAUGUGAUAUCAUGGAAGACCAGUGGAGACCUAAUGGGAAUCCAGCCUGCAGACUGGCAUUUUUCAGAGUUGCCUGAGUUCACUAGGUUUGGAAAGACUCUUGACCAACACGUGUUGGCCACGGCCUCUGGAUGAGGAAAUCUCGGAGGAAAAUACUGAGAUGAACCUGAGCCUCUCUGGUGAAUUCUUCGUUUCAAUGGUGGAAUAAGUGGCCACAGAUCCAAAUGAGAAAUACAUUACCUAAGUUUAUUAGGAACUUAAUCAUCCAGUAAGAGACCAAGAACCUUGGAUGAACUUCUCAGUGACUCCAGCUCUAGCAUUCAGCAGAGGAAUUAAAAACAUAACAGGCUAAUGAAACACUGUUAGAAUCACCCACCCAUCAGUUAAGUAAAAUGCUCCUUCUUAAAGUUAUUCAAAACAAAAACAAACACAAAAGACUAAAAAAGAAAUUUAUCCUGAUUGGAAAGAUUAUGGUCUGUCUGAUCAUGAACAUAAACUCUAAGGUCUGCCUAGAGUCAAUACUGGCAAUAAGAUUCUUAGCUUUUAAAGAAGAUGAAUUCAGUAGUUGGAAUAAAACACAUGAAUUAUAAAUUUCUAUUAUGGAACAUCUGAG